Molecule: long non-coding RNA, 948 nt
Organism: Pecten maximus
Lineage: Eukaryota; Metazoa; Mollusca; Bivalvia; Pectinida; Pectinidae
Exons: 6
Source: RefSeq, a predicted model, not a curated record
AUAUACACCUAGGUAUUAAAACCAUGAUACAGACAUUUGUGUAACGGACACGUAUAUCACAAUUAAGAAAUUCAGCGACGCUUGACAAGUAGUAUGGUAUCAUAACUGGCUCUUAUAUGAAUUACGACGUUACAACAACGAGGAUGUGUUAAUAUUGAUUUUCGUCGAAAAUACUGAGAUACGCGCAAAUGGAUAUACCAGAAUUGCUUGCAGUUUAACAAUUGACUUCUAAAUGAGUUUCGUCAUCAUCAAACUACAACAGCGAAAAUGUGUUGUGUAUUUAAUAGUUUGGAUUAUGGAUAAUAUACUCUCCACGCUGAGAUCCAUUUCAAUGGAUACACAAGAUGACAGCUCGUUGGACAUGGGUAGACGUAUUUACAAUGUCACAUCUGACGUGUGAAUUGACACGUGUCUCAACCUUUCGACAUGUGUCAAUCAGAUUCUGGGUGUUGGACCUUGCCAGGUGGUACUUCGUGGACCAUGAUGGAAUGACCUUCGAGUGCGUCAUAUGCGGAAAAAUGCAUGCAUAUAGAGAAAGAAGAUUUUCUGAAGAUGAGUUGCAGUCGAUUCAUCAUACCGACUGUCGAGUACGAAUCAAUGGAGUCCGGACACGUAACUAAUGCUAUAUGGAUGGAAACCAGACAUCAACGCCUUCUUCAUAUCUACUGCGUCAAAAUGCAACACCAAAACAAAAGAGCAAAACGAGUCUUCAAGUGUAAACAGAAGCUAUAUUAGGCAUGUACUUGGUUAAAAGAGAAAAACAGACACUUUACCAUAUUUUUUUGCAUAAAUUUCGAAAAAAAACAUUAAGAGAACAACUGUGGAUAUCUGAUUAAUGAAAAUAAAAGACAUGCAUUAAAAUGUCUUUUCUUAUGAUAUAGAAAAUGUAUUCAUAUAAACUAUAAAUCGUCAAAACUAAAACUAGACAAUUCAGAGAGAAAUAUCUCA